This 1359-nucleotide ribosomal RNA is filed under the name Mycolicibacterium frederiksbergense. RNAcentral's name for it is "bacterial SSU rRNA". It matches the Rfam family "Bacterial small subunit ribosomal RNA", at positions 68 to 1441 of the family's 1533-position model. The record is from RNAcentral. Lineage: Bacteria; Bacillati; Actinomycetota; Actinomycetes; Mycobacteriales; Mycobacteriaceae.
GGAAAGGCCCUUCGGGGUACUCGAGUGGCGAACGGGUGAGUAACACGUGGGUGAUCUGCCCUGCACUUUGGGAUAAGCCUGGGAAACUGGGUCUAAUACCGAAUAUGACCAUGCACUUCCUGGUGUGUGGUGGAAAGCUUUUGCGGUGUGGGAUGGGCCCGCGGCCUAUCAGCUUGUUGGUGGGGUAAUGGCCUACCAAGGCGACGACGGGUAGCCGGCCUGAGAGGGUGACCGGCCACACUGGGACUGAGAUACGGCCCAGACUCCUACGGGAGGCAGCAGUGGGGAAUAUUGCACAAUGGGCGCAAGCCUGAUGCAGCGACGCCGCGUGAGGGAUGACGGCCUUCGGGUUGUAAACCUCUUUCAGCACAGACGAAGCGCAAGUGACGGUAUGUGCAGAAGAAGGACCGGCCAACUACGUGCCAGCAGCCGCGGUAAUACGUAGGGUCCGAGCGUUGUCCGGAAUUACUGGGCGUAAAGAGCUCGUAGGUGGUUUGUCGCGUUGUUCGUGAAAACUCACAGCUUAACUGUGGGCGUGCGGGCGAUACGGGCAGACUUGAGUACUGCAGGGGAGACUGGAAUUCCUGGUGUAGCGGUGGAAUGCGCAGAUAUCAGGAGGAACACCGGUGGCGAAGGCGGGUCUCUGGGCAGUAACUGACGCUGAGGAGCGAAAGCGUGGGGAGCGAACAGGAUUAGAUACCCUGGUAGUCCACGCCGUAAACGGUGGGUACUAGGUGUGGGUUUCCUUCCUUGGGGAUCCGUGCCGUAGCUAACGCAUUAAGUACCCCGCCUGGGGAGUACGGCCGCAAGGCUAAAACUCAAAGAAAUUGACGGGGGCCCGCACAAGCGGCGGAGCAUGUGGAUUAAUUCGAUGCAACGCGAAGAACCUUACCUGGGUUUGACAUGCACAGGACGCCAGUAGAGAUAUUGGUUCCCUUGUGGCCUGUGUGCAGGUGGUGCAUGGCUGUCGUCAGCUCGUGUCGUGAGAUGUUGGGUUAAGUCCCGCAACGAGCGCAACCCUUGUCCUAUGUUGCCAGCGGGUUAUGCCGGGGACUCGUAGGAGACUGCCGGGGUCAACUCGGAGGAAGGUGGGGAUGACGUCAAGUCAUCAUGCCCCUUAUGUCCAGGGCUUCACACAUGCUACAAUGGCCGGUACAAAGGGCUGCGAUGCCGUGAGGUGGAGCGAAUCCUUUCAAAGCCGGUCUCAGUUCGGAUCGGGGUCUGCAACUCGACCCCGUGAAGUCGGAGUCGCUAGUAAUCGCAGAUCAGCAACGCUGCGGUGAAUACGUUCCCGGGCCUUGUACACACCGCCCGUCACGUCAUGAAAGUCGGUAACACCCGAAGCCGGUGGCCUAACCC